UGGGGGGGAGCUAAACAUGCAGUCGAGCGGCUGCACGGGAGUUUGCUCCUGGGUUCAGCGGCGGACGGGUGAGUAAUGCCUAGGAAUCUGCCUGGUAGCGGGGGAUAACUUCCGGAAACCGGCGCUAUACCGCAUACGCCCUGAGGGGAAAGUGGGGGAUCUUCGGACUUGCGCUUUGGAUGAGCCUAUGUCGGAUUAGCUAGUUGGUGGGGUAAAGGCUCACCAAGGCGACGAUCCGUAACUGGUUUGAGAGGAUGACCAGCCACACUGGGACUGAGACACGGCCCAGACUCCUACGGGAGGCAGCAGUGGGGAAUUUUGGACAAUGGGGGAAACCCUGAUCCAGCCAUCCCGCGUGUGUGAAGAAGGUCUUCGGAUUGUAAAGCACUUUUGGUUGGAAGGAAGGUCGCGGGUUAAUACCUUGCUGAACUGACGGUACCUGCAGAAUAAGCACCGGCUAACUUCGUGCCAGCAGCCGCGGUAAUACGAAGGGUGCAAGCGUUAAUCGGAAUUACUGGGCGUAAAGCGCGCGCAGGUGGUUCAGAAAGAAGGAUGUGAAAUCCCCGGGCUUCACUUUGGGAACUGCAUCCAAAACUACUGGCUAGAGUGCGUCAGAGGGAGGGGGGAAUUCCCUGUGUAGCGGUGAAAUGCGUAGAUAUGCGGAGGAACAC
Molecule: ribosomal RNA, 671 nt
Filed under: Pseudomonas aeruginosa
Lineage: Bacteria; Pseudomonadati; Pseudomonadota; Gammaproteobacteria; Pseudomonadales; Pseudomonadaceae
Description: bacterial SSU rRNA
Rfam family: Bacterial small subunit ribosomal RNA
Source: RNAcentral